GCCGGACUGGCACAAUUGGUCAGCGCGUGAGACUCUUAACCUCAAGGUUGUGGGCUCAAGUCCCACGUUUUCCU
Molecule: non-coding RNA, 74 nt
Organism: Lophiotrema nucula
Lineage: Eukaryota; Fungi; Ascomycota; Dothideomycetes; Pleosporales; Lophiotremataceae
Source: the annotation of a GenBank genome assembly